RNAcentral lists this ribosomal RNA (460 nucleotides) under uncultured bacterium. RNAcentral's name for it is "partial 16S ribosomal RNA". It matches the Rfam family "Bacterial small subunit ribosomal RNA", at positions 338 to 795 of the family's 1533-position model. The record is from RNAcentral.
CCUACGGGAGGCAGCAGUGAGGAAUAUUGGUCAAUGGGCGCGAGCCUGAACCAGCCAAGUAGCGUGAAGGAUGACUGCCCUACGGGUUGUAAACUUCUUUUAUAAAGGAAUAAAGUGAGGCACGUGUGCCUUUUUGUAUGUAUUUUAUGAAUAAGGAUCGGCUAACUCCGUGCCAGCAGCCGCGGUAAUACGGAGGAUCCGAGCGUUAUCCGGAUUUAUUGGGUUUAAAGGGUGCGUAGGCGGCCUUUUAAGUCAGCGGUGAAAGUCUGUGGCUCAACCAUAGAAUUGCCGUUGAAACUGGGGGGCUUGAGUAUGUUUGAGGCAGGCGGAAUGCGUGGUGUAGCGGUGAAAUGCUUAGAUAUCACACAGAACCCCGAUUGCGAAGGCAGCCUGCCAAGCCAUGACUGACACUGAUGCACGAAAGCGUGGGGAUCAAACAGGAUUAGAUACCCCAGUAGUC